This 1166-nucleotide ribosomal RNA is filed under the name uncultured Flavobacteriaceae bacterium. RNAcentral's name for it is "bacterial SSU rRNA". It matches the Rfam family "Bacterial small subunit ribosomal RNA", at positions 363 to 1533 of the family's 1533-position model. Lineage: Bacteria; Pseudomonadati; Bacteroidota; Flavobacteriia; Flavobacteriales; Flavobacteriaceae. The record is from RNAcentral.
AUUGGACAAUGGAGGCAACUCUGAUCCAGCCAUGCCGCGUGCAGGAAGACGGCCUUAUGGGUUGUAAACUGCUUUUAUACAGGAAGAAACCUGCUCACGUGUGAGCAGCUGACGGUACUGUAAGAAUAAGGAUCGGCUAACUCCGUGCCAGCAGCCGCGGUAAUACGGAGGAUCCAAGCGUUAUCCGGAAUUAUUGGGUUUAAAGGGUCCGCAGGCUGUUUGUUAAGUCAGAGGUGAAAUCCUACCGCUCAACGGUAGAACUGCCUUUGAUACUGACAAACUUGAGUUAUUGUGAAGUAAUUAGAAUGUGUAGUGUAGCGGUGAAAUGCAUAGAUAUUACACAGAAUACCGAUUGCGAAAGCAGAUUACUAACAAUAUACUGACGCUGAGGGACGAAAGCGUAGGUAGCGAACAGGAUUAGAUACCCUGGUAGUCUACGCCGUAAACGAUGGUCACUAGCUGUUCGAUAUACAUUGGUAUGUUGAGUGGCUAAGCGAAAGUGAUAAGUGACCCACCUGGGGAGUACGCUCGCAAGAGUGAAACUCAAAGGAAUUGACGGGGGCCCGCACAAGCGGUGGAGCAUGUGGUUUAAUUCGAUGAUACGCGAGGAACCUUACCAGGACUUAAAUGUAAGUUGCAUGAUUCAGAAAUGAAUCUUUCUUCGGACUACUUACAAGGUGCUGCAUGGUUGUCGUCAGCUCGUGCCGUGAGGUGUCAGGUUAAGUCCUAUAACGAGCGCAACCCCUAUCGUUAGUUGCCAGCAAGUAAAGUUGGGAACUCUAGCGAAACUGCCGGUGCAAACCGUGAGGAAGGUGGGGAUGACGUCAAAUCAUCACGGCCCUUAUGUUCUGGGCUACACACGUGCUACAAUGGCCGGUACAGUAAGCAGCCACUUUGCGAAAAGGAGCUAAUCUUCAAAGCCGGUCUCAGUUCGGAUCGCAGUCUGCAACUCGACUGCGUGAAGCUGGAAUCGCUAGUAAUCGGAUAUCAGCCAUGAUCCGGUGAAUACGUUCCCGGGCCUUGUACACACCGCCCGUCAAGCCAUGGAAGCUGGGGGUACCUAAAGUCGGUGACCGAAAGGAACUGCCUAGGGUAAAACUAGUAACUGGGGCUAAGUCGUAACAAGGUAGCCGUACCGGAAGGUGCGGCUGGAAUACCUCCUUUCU